CAGCAGCCACGGUAAUACAGAGGGUGCGAGCGUUAAUCGGAUUUACUGGGCGUAAAGCGUGCGUAGGCGGCUAAUUGAGUCGGAUGUGAAAUCCCCGAGCUUAACUUGGGAAUUGCAUUCGAUACUGGUUAGCUAGAGUGUGGGAGAGGAUGGUAGAAUUCCAGGUGUAGCGCUGAAAUGCGUAGAGAUCUGGAGGAAUACCGAUGGCGAAGGCAGCCAUCUGGCCUAACACUGACGCUGAGGUACGAAAGCAUGGGGAGCAAACAGGAUUAGAUACCCCCGUAGUCCCUGUCUCUUAUAC
RNAcentral lists this ribosomal RNA (301 nucleotides) under uncultured bacterium. RNAcentral's name for it is "partial 16S ribosomal RNA". It matches the Rfam family "Bacterial small subunit ribosomal RNA", at positions 509 to 807 of the family's 1533-position model. The record is from RNAcentral.